RNAcentral lists this ribosomal RNA (482 nucleotides) under Venupherodes venustula. RNAcentral describes it as "partial 16S ribosomal RNA". It matches the Rfam family "Bacterial large subunit ribosomal RNA", at positions 1826 to 2566 of the family's 2925-position model. Lineage: Eukaryota; Metazoa; Arthropoda; Insecta; Phasmatodea; Phasmatidae. The record is from RNAcentral.
ACAUCUUUUCAUGUAUUUUAUUUGAGAUAAUACCUGCCCAAUGAUUUAUUUAAUGGCCGCGGUAUUUUGACCGUGCAAAGGUAGCGUAAUCAUUAGUCUAUUAAUUGUAGUCUUGUAUGAAUGGUUUGACGAAACGUUAACUGUCUUCAUUUUGUUUUUUAGAAAUUAAAUUUUUGGUUAAAAUGCUUAAAUUUUAUUAUUGGACGAGAAGACCCUAUAGAUCUUUANUUUUCUUAUUUUAUAAAAUUUUUUGUUGAUUUAUUUUUUAUAAAUUAAUAUUAGUUUUGUUGGGGAGACAAGAGGAUAUAAUUAACUCUUUUUUAUUUAUAUUCAUUGAUUUAUGUUUAUUUGACCUUAUAUUAUUGUUAUAAGAUAUAGAUACCUUAGGGAUAACAGCGUUAUUUAUUUUGCGAGUUCAUAUCGACAGAUUAGAUUGCGACCUCGAUGUUGGAUUAAGGUUUCAUUUAGGUGUAGUAGCUAAA